RNAcentral lists this ribosomal RNA (629 nucleotides) under uncultured Vagococcus sp. RNAcentral describes it as "bacterial SSU rRNA". It matches the Rfam family "Bacterial small subunit ribosomal RNA", at positions 885 to 1515 of the family's 1533-position model. Lineage: Bacteria; Bacillati; Bacillota; Bacilli; Lactobacillales; Enterococcaceae. The record is from RNAcentral.
ACCGCAAGGUUGAAACUCAAAGGAAUUGACGGGGGCCCGCACAAGCGGUGGAGCAUGUGGUUUAAUUCGAAGCAACGCGAAGAACCUUACCAGGUCUUGACAUCCUUUGACCACUCUAGAGAUAGAGCUUUCCCUUCGGGGACAAAGUGACAGGUGGUGCAUGGUUGUCGUCAGCUCGUGUCGUGAGAUGUUGGGUUAAGUCCCGCAACGAGCGCAACCCUUAUUGUUAGUUGCCAUCAUUAAGUUGGGCACUCUAGCGAGACUGCCGGUGACAAACCGGAGGAAGGUGGGGAUGACGUCAAAUCAUCAUGCCCCUUAUGACCUGGGCUACACACGUGCUACAAUGGACAGUACAAUGAGCAGCGACACGGCGACGUGAAGCGAAUCUCAUAAAGCUGUUCUCAGUUCGGAUUGUAGGCUGCAACUCGCCUACAUGAAGCCGGAAUCGCUAGUAAUCGCGGAUCAGCACGCCGCGGUGAAUACGUUCCCGGGCCUUGUACACACCGCCCGUCACACCACGAAAGUUUGUAACACCCGAAGUCGGUGAGGUAACCGCAAGGAGCCAACCGCCUAAGGUGGGAUAGAUGAUUGGGGUGAAGUCGUAACAAGGUAACCAAGGGCGAAUUCUG